Long non-coding RNA from Equus quagga, 1496 nucleotides. RefSeq lists it as uncharacterized. NCBI's taxonomy places the organism in Eukaryota, Metazoa, Chordata, Mammalia, Perissodactyla, Equidae. The record is from RefSeq and is a predicted model, not a curated record. The transcript has 4 exons.
CCCCUCUGGGCUCCACGAGGGCACCUUUGCCAAGGAUGCUGCCCCCCUGCUGCACUCCACACUGAGCACCCACCGGGCUGCUGGCCAGGCAGCCGAGAAUCAGCAAAGAAACCCCGCCCUGGCGCUGACAUUCCAGUGGGGGAGACAGGCGAUUUACAAGGAGAUAAAUAGUCACAGAGUAUCCUUGCAGGUGGAGACACGCGCUGGGCAGAAAAGCAGAGUGGGAGAAGGCGUGACUGGGGCCGGGGGAGACCAAUGCCUCACUGAUAGGAUCAGGAGGCCUCUCUGGGGAGGUGACUCCUGAGCACAGUGGACAUUGAACAUGGGGUGGGAGCCAGGCCUGGAGACAUCCGGGGGAGAAUGAGUCCAAGAAGAGGGGCCUGCAAGCAAGUGAUGGGAAAUGCAGGUGGUGAGAUAGCCAGGGGCAGACUUGUCACAGUGCUGGGAGAGCACUGUCAUGGCCACCACCUUACAGACUAAGAAACAGAGGGCCCAGGAGGUUAAGAGGCUUGCCAAGACCAGCAGCCAGGAUUUGCUAGCUGAAGCCAGGCUGUCUGACUCAGAGAGAUUACUUCCCGCUAUCUCCCUAUCAUAGGACACACAUAGAUGCAUGACCUUUAUCCAAACCCUGGGGCAGCUGUGGGUGGAAAUUCAGAAGCUUCCAAUUUAAGAAUGCUCACACAGUGCAGUAUGGUAUGGUCCGUGACACCCCCGGGGGAUCUGGGACAGCACACAACAAUUAAAUAUAUUAACAUAGCAGGACACAAUUAGACAUAUUCAUAUUUCUGCAGCAAGACAUACUAAUCUUCACACUCAGAGGACCAAAAGAAGAAUUGUUAACAGCCUCAGUUCAGGUGAAGUUUGCCACCAAAUUCAGGUUAGUUACCAAAAUAACAACAAACAACUUCUGGUUUUCGGAGCCUUUAGGAUUUCCACUAAAGCUUGGGGGGCGCAGUGUUGCAACUUCUGGAAAUGUCAGCUCUGUGAAGACAGGCUGCAGAGAGGCCAGCUGGGAGCACCGUCGCCCGCAUUCGCAUCUUCGCGAGGCCCAGACCAGGAAUCGGCACAAACUUCCUCCUGGGCAAAGGAGCUCCCGGCAGCUCGGGAGCGGCCAGCACCGCGCGGGACAAGCCUGGCAAGAGGCAGUGGCGUCAUCCCCACCCAAGGUCAGGUGCAAACCCGUGGUCCGGCGGCCUCCACUUCUGCCCCAAGCAGCUUAAAGAUUCACUGAGAAUCAAAAUGCAGCAGAGAGGUUUGUUGAGCACCUACUAUGUGCCAGGGGAUUGGGAUACAUCUGUGAAGAAAACAACAAACGCCCUUGUCCUCACUGGAGAGGGAGUCAGACUUGGAUUCAAAAUAUCACAAUGUGCAAAGAUGACCCACCCUCCAACCUCGUGCUGUGUCAAGUCCGCCUCUUACACAAACCACCGUGCUGGGGAGCUCAGGCUAAGUUUGUUCUGGCUGCGUUUGAAUUCUGGCUGUCUACAGAUGAAAAC